This 4219-nucleotide ribosomal RNA is filed under the name Triticum aestivum (bread wheat). Its description in RNAcentral is "partial small subunit ribosomal RNA". The record is from RNAcentral. Lineage: Eukaryota; Viridiplantae; Streptophyta; Magnoliopsida; Poales; Poaceae.
GACAGAACCACUGGUCCGUCGCUUCCGUGUCACGAGCACACGACCGGCGGUUGAGCUGGGGGCGUGAGUCAGACCGGGAGGAACCAUCCGGAUCCGCCCCGUUCCUUCCUUCCUUCCGACCCACGGCGAGCGAGGAGACCCACCUCGCCGUCUCACUCCCGUUCCACCGCCACCGUCGCCUCCUCGCCCCCUUCCCUCGCCGGCGCCCCCGAAUUCGAAGCGGCGCGCAUGGCGAGGCCCGAGGAGAGCUGGGCGCGGAACACGUCCCCGGGGGACGACGCGUCCACGAGCCACGCGCCCCACCCGGAGGGCGCCUCGCCGGACUUGCUGCGGAACACGCCGUCCAACAUCGCUAGGCUCGAGGACGCGAUCGAGAACUGCGCCGCCCGCCGCAAGUACCUCGCUCGCACCAAGAGCCCCUCCGACGGCGAGGACGUCCGCUGGUACUUCUGCAAGCUCCCCCUCGGGGACAGAGUGCUCUCUUCUUCAGUUCCACGGACGGAGAUAGUUGGGAAAGGAGACUAUUUCAGGUUCAGCAUGAGGGACUGUUUGGCGUUGGAGGCGUCUUUCUUAGAGAGAGAAGAAUCACUACUUGGGUACUGGUGGAGGGAGUAUGCGGAAUGCAGUGAAGGGCCAACAGGUUCCUUGGUUAAAGCUGAUAUGUCAGACUCUGAAUAUUUGUAUAAGGUGGAGGAGGAGCGGGUUGGGGUUCCUGUGAAAGGUGGACUAUAUGAGGUUGAUUUGAUGAGACGUCAUUGCUUCCCUGUAUAUUGGAAUGGUGAGAAUAGACGUGUUUUGAGAGGCCACUGGUUUGCUCGAAAAGGAGGUCUCGAUUGGAUUCCCUUGCGUGAAGAUGUUUCUGAACAACUUGAGUUAGCAUAUAAGUACCAGGUCUGGCAUCGUCGUAAAUUUCAACCUUCAGGCCUGUUUGCUGCGCGGGUCGAUCUCCAAGGAAGUACACCGGGAUUGCAUGCUCUUUUUACAGGAGAGGAUGAUACUUGGGAAGCUUGGCUUGUCUUUGAUACAGGUCCUAAACUAGGCAGCAACACAAUCAAAUUAAGGCGUGGUUUCUCUUCUUCUGGAUCUGCAAAUCCUACCCAGGAUGAGUUGCGUCAACAGAAAGAAGAGGAAACAGAUGAUUACUGCUCUCAGGUUCCAGUUGGUCAUUUGGUAUUCAUGGUUCAUGGUAUCGGACAGAGAUUGGAAAAAGCUAAUCUUGUUGAUGAUGUAGUCGAUUUCCGCCGUGUGACCGCUAACCUAGCCGAUAGAUACUUAACUCCUUAUCAAAGAAGUACACAGAGGGUCCUAUUUAUUCCCUGUCAGUGGAGGAAGAGUUUAAAGCUCGGUGGUGAAAACACAGUCGAGAAGAUCACUUUGGAUGGAGUUAAAGGUCUUCGCGUAGCGUUAGGUGCCACCGUUCAUGAUGUUCUAUAUUACAUGAGUCCUAUCUACUGUCAGCAUAUAAUUGACUCGGUCUCGGGUCAGCUGAACCAACUGUAUAUGAAGUUUCUGAAGAGAAAUCCUGGUUACAGUGGAAAGGUAUCAUUAUAUGGCCAUUCGUUGGGAAGUGUUCUAACGUAUGAUAUACUUUGCCACCAAGAAUCCCUUUCUGCCCCAUUUCCAACAGAUUAUUUUAAGAUGGAAGUUUCGUCUGAUGAAGGCCAAGUAGGAAAAGGACCCAACACAAUUGAUGUUAUUGACUCUGGUGUAAAAGAGCAUGAUACUUCUUCCACUUCAGGGCAUUCAUGUGUAGAUAAUGUAAAUCGUGUGGAUCAAGAGAGCACCAGAACUGAUCAUUCACUUACAGACAAGACUGUUCUGCCAUGUGUGCUUGAAAAUGUGCCAAACAAUGAUGAUGCACUUGAAUCACCUAUUCCAGUUGAUGGGGUGCAAACUGAAGUCGAAAAUCAGGUUGAGAAUCAUCAAAUGACAUAUACUGAAGGAGCUACUCCAGCUGUAAGCACAAAAGAUGCUGAUGAGUGCAUUUCAAGAUCCGCCAAGGAACUCCAUGUGGUCCCUGACAAAGACAGAUUAAUCUCAUCACUAGAAGAAGAGGUGAGCCAUCUUAAAGCUAAACUAGCGGAACUUGAGCGACAGAGUGAUUCAGUGAUUCAAAGCAUCAGUAGUGUUCAGUCUCAUCAAGAUAAAGAUGCUAAUGAUACAGUGAGCCUAGUAUCAGGCAAACUUAACAUAGGGCAAGGUAGCACAAGUCAGUCCUACAGACCACGUAUUAGAUACACUAAACUAAAUUUUAAGGUUGACACAUUCUUUGCUGUUGGAUCCCCUUUGGGAGUCUUCCUGUCGCUGCGGAAUGUCCGUAUUGGUGUUGGCAGGGGACAAGAUUAUUGGCAAGACAAGAACGUUGUUGAAGAGAUGCCAUGCUGCAGGCAGAUGUUCAACGUUUUUCAUCCUUUCGAUCCUGUAGCAUACAGAGUUGAACCACUUGUAUGUGAAGAUUAUGUGAACAAGCGCCCUGUUGUUAUACCCUACCAUAGAGGCGGAAAGAGGAUACAUGUUGGAGUGCAGGAGUUCACAGAAGACGUUGCUGCACGUUCUCAGGCUAUUGCCCGUCAAUUCAAGUCAUUGAAGGUCAAAGCGGUAGCUGCCUUGUUAUCACUGAGCAAAAAUGACACGGAAGAGGACGAUGAGAGCACCAAGGAGGAGGAGAGAUCAUAUGGUUCCAUGAUGAUGGAAAGGCUGACUGGUUCACCGGAUGGUCGAGUUGAUCAUGUGCUUCAGGAGAAAACAUUUCAACAUCCAUAUUUAUCCGCUCUGGGAUCUCAUACCAACUACUGGCGGGAUCAUGAUACUGCUCUCUUCAUUAUCAAACAUUUGUACCGUGAUAUACCUGAAGAACCUCCAACUGAUGGAACUGGAAGUGCACCCAUUAGACUGUUCUAUGUGAGGGAUCCAAUUGCUGAAGACACUCCCCUGACAUUUUCAGACCACUCCUCAGUUAAGGAAUUCUCCAGAAAGGUGAAAACUUACUCGAGAAAGGGGGAGGAUGAUGCAAACUGUGAAGCCUCUUGAUGGUGACCGCUGUAUGUUGCAACGUGAUAUCGUCUUACGAUUUUCACCUAGCAGAAGUGUUCCGCCAGAAGAAAAAACCCCUAGCAGAAGUGUGAUGUACAUAAAAGCACCUGGCAUAGAGGGACGCAUUGCACAGUUUGGGAGAAAAGGGGGAUACAUUGCUGGUGUGCAUCCUUGUCACUUAGGCACCACAGAUCAGAGCCAUAGCACACUUGCGGGGUGAAUGGAUGUUGCACAUAGAAUUAUGGGCCGCCACAUGCUGUGUAUAACUUGUUUACCCGUGUCUCUAGCAGUAAUUUUGUACGUACAUAUACAGAUAUAAACGGGAGAGAGAGUGUAAAAAAGAGCGAUUAGAUUUGAGCGGUUGAACACCAGGUGGAAAAACAGAGGUGCAUUCAGUGGAGCACGUCCGAUGGCGAUUGCGCCGGCACGAGCGAGCAGAUGUGCAUUCUCACCUCAUGUGUAUAGAGUAAAGAGCUUUUGCCCAAUGUCAAGUUCUCCAACCGGCUGUAAUACAAACAUCAAAGGACAAAAGGAGUCGUCACCAACGCCAUCUGUCGAAGUCUCAAGGAAAUACCCAACCCAAUGUACACUUGACUUUUGUCCCCUGGCAUCAGUUGAAUGAUAAUCUCUCUCGCGUGUCAUGGAAUACUCGGUCAAGAAACAGCUGGGCUUGAUUUGUGAUAAUAAUAAACGUUGGUUGAUAUGGAACGAAACUGGAUUGUCCUAAGUGUUGUAGAGACGGUCAGUCGGCUGCCUGUAAUAAUCUCUGCCACGUUGACGGCCGUGUCCCAUCCCUAUCAUGCCUACAGUUUUGGUCAGCCGCACAAUUUGACGCAAACGCGAUUUGCCUGGGCUGGUUUGACCGUUUGACGUGGUCACUCCCCUCCCGCCUGCAACCAAGAACCAACCUACGCACUGCACAGGUGCACUACACGUGCAUGCGCCUGACUUGCUCCAAGCCUCCAACUGAUCCCUAAUUACUUCCAUCCAUGUGUCUGCCUGCUUGCUUGUGUGCAAGAGACACUGCCCCGAGUUUUCUCUUAUGGAGGCCCUGUGCUUGUAGUUAUCCAUGCAUGCGGGGUGCUUGGUCGGCUGGAGAGAUGAGAUGGCCUCGUCCACCUUACAUAAUGAUGCGAGAGCGUGAGUGAUCAGCAGAAUGAUUGGAUGACAUGUAUAUAGUUCCCCG